RNAcentral lists this non-coding RNA (30 nucleotides) under Rattus norvegicus (Norway rat). The record is from RNAcentral. Lineage: Eukaryota; Metazoa; Chordata; Mammalia; Rodentia; Muridae.
UGGGAUGUGAUCCGUUCACCGUAAGCAUCC